Dunckerocampus dactyliophorus (ringed pipefish) is the source of this 608-nucleotide long non-coding RNA. RefSeq lists it as uncharacterized. The record is from RefSeq and is a predicted model, not a curated record. The transcript is spliced from 8 exons. NCBI's taxonomy places the organism in Eukaryota, Metazoa, Chordata, Actinopteri, Syngnathiformes, Syngnathidae.
GAAGGACCCCGCUUUAAAAGCUAGGGCAGCCAUUCCACGCCCUCUCUUUUGUUCAAAGAUUGAAGAGUCUUGGUGUUCUUCGGUUUUCUGUAUGUGUAAAGUGGUGCGAUGGGACUACUGCUCUAUUGCAAGCUCCUGGCACAGUAAAAGAUGUUAUCCAUUCAGAUAAACUGUAAGGAUUUCCUUAUGGGUGGCAGCAUGUCUAAACAGAAACCCCAACGUGAAGGUGGAUGAGAGCAAGUUACACUUGGAUACAAUAUCCCAGGAAGUAGAGCAGGAACUGUGCUGCGUACAGGAUUUGCAACUCUUGCGUGGAUGACGUGGAAAGUGGUGCGAUGGGACUACUGCUGUAUUGCAAGCUCCUGGCACAGUAAAGGAUUCUAUCCAUACAGAUGUAAUUGUGAAGACACACGGCUUGAUGUUUACAACACUCCUGUACCAAGGCUAUGCAUUUACUAAUAAUGGAAAGGGGCUGAAAUGUUCAGUUGUAUUUGCAUAGAUGUUUGCAUAGAUGUUUUGAUAUUUGCAUAGGAAUUUGGGUGGACUAUCUACCCAACAAAUGUAAUUUAUUGUUAACAAAUCAAUAUUAAUAAAGCUACUCAACAAUC